UGGUUGGGUGGCCCAUGCUCCGACCUAGGAUUUUUUAGAAAUGGAAAAUAACAUGUGGCGAAAUCAGACACCCUCUCUGUUCCGCCAGGUAUGGCUGGAUUGGCUGCAACGCUCCCUUCACCAGCCGCAGGAGCAUCGCCGCUGCUGCUCCACUGCAACGCCGCCCCUUCCGUCUCCUUCCGCCACCGCAGGCGUUGGCAGCGGCCGGCUGCUACACGGCACGAUGGCCGCGUCGCGCAGCUGUUGCUGCCGGUCGCGCGCCGCUGGCUGCCGGCAGCAGCGCCUCCCGGAGUCAAUGGCGCGCGCGGAGGCAUUGCGGCGUCGGGGUCAGGGGCAGGGGCAGUGGCUGGGGAGGCGCCGUACAGAGGCAACGAGGGGCAGGGGUCGCUGUGGAUGGUCUUCCUCGCCACGGCGGUGGUCGUGUGCGGCUCCUUCGAGUUCGGCACCUGUGUCGGGUAUUCUGCGCCGGCUCAAGCUGGAAUUGUGAGCGACAUUGGGUUGUCCAACUCCGAGUAUGGUGUCUUUGGAUCUGUUUUGACAAUUGGAGCAAUGAUUGGUGCUGUGACUAGCGGCAGCCUGGCAGACAUUCUUGGACGCAAAAUGACCAUGCGAUUUGCAGCAGUUGUAGGCAUUUUUGGCUGGCUUACUGUAUAUUUUGCCAAGGAUGCUAUGAUGCUCUAUGCUGGAAGAGUUUUGCUGGGGUAUUGUACUGGAGUUCUUUCCUAUGUGGUGCCUGUGUAUAUAUCUGAAAUAGCACCAAAGGGUAUCCGAGGAGGCCUUGCAACCUCAAACCAGUUAUUCAUCUGUUCAGGGUGUUCGGCUGCUUACAUUAUUGGAGCACUUGUUUCAUGGCGCUGUUUGGUUGUAGUAGGAUUGAUACCUUGUGCUGUCCUACUUGUUGGGCUUUUCUUCAUUCCAGAGUCUCCAAGGUGGCUGGCCAACAUAGGGAAAGAAAGAGAAUUUCAUGCUUCAUUACAGGAGUUUAGGGGGGAAGAUUCUGACAUUUCUGAAGAGGCUACUGAGAUCAAAGAUUAUAUAAAAUCAGUUCGUCGAUUGCCUAAGGCCAAGAUUCAAGAUUUAUUUCAGAGAAAAAAUAUGUAUGCAGUCACGGUGGGUGUUGGCCUGAUGAUUUUUCAGCAACUGGGAGGAAUUAAUGCCUUAGGUUUCUAUACAAGCUAUAUUUUUUCCUCUGCAGGAUUUUCUGGAAAACUUGGGACCACCUUGAUUGGCGUUAUUCAGAUUCCAAUCACAUUCUUUGGGGCCCUUCUGAUGGAUAGGAGUGGAAGAAGAGCCCUUCUUUUGGUCUCUUCAUCUGGAACAUUUCUUGGCUGCUUUCUGACUGGACUAUCAUUCUAUUUUAAGAAGCAAGGCAAAUUUUCAAAGAUUCUUGUUCGGUUCAGAUCUACAGUAUCCAGGCCUGUAUUCCAAAAGAUACAGCUAUACUUUGGAAUCAUGAAUUUGUGCAGGCAGAGGAGCUUUUCAAUCAGCCUUUUGAUUAUGAGAACUGUUUGAGAGAUAAUAGGUUUUGUGGUGUUUUGAAUUCUUUUGUCAAGCGAACAUCCAAUGGAAAGCAUGUGAGUUCAUUGCCACCAAAGCCCUUGAAUAGUGCUGCAGCCGCCGCAUAGUCUAAGCCUAGUGUUACUCCAAAGGAGCAGUUUGUUACUGCUCGGCGGCAAGAUUUGCCUGUAAGUUCAAAGCAGGGAGCAGACACUAAGUCCGAGAAGGAUAAUUCCACAAUAUUAGAUAAGGCUGGCAAUGGUCCUGUUGACAAAGAACAAUCAGUUGAUGCCUAUGCAAGCAAAAGUAAAGCUCAAAAUGGAAAGGCCAUGCCUAGUAAUGGUGGAUCGCUGGCUAACAUGUGGGGUCGUGCAUCAGCAAAACCUAUGCCUCCAAGUACCACUAAUUCUACAGCUGUAGCAAGUGUUGCAGGAAGAAGCAGAUGGAAAUAGCAGCGAUGAUGAACAUGGGAUAAACUACAAGAGGGGAUCCACUAAUGCAAAUAACAGAAAGAGAACAGUGGUAUUUGAUUAUUCGGAUGAUGAGGAAGAUGACAAUAUUGCACAAGGACUGUGCACACAGCUGGUUCCUACUUUGGCUCUUUGUGGCAUACUGGUAUACUAUGCGGCGUACUCAGUUGGAAUGGGCCCAGUUCCUUGGGUUAUCAUGUCAGAGAUAUUCUCAAUCGACAUGAAAGCAAUCGCCGGAGGGUUUGUAACCCUGGCCAGUUGGAUUGGUUCCUUUGCGAUUUCAUACUCAUUCAACUUCCUCAUGGAUUGGAACCCCGCAGGCACAUUCUUUCUGUUCUCUGCAGCGAGCCUGGUCACUGUGCUGUUCGUGGCAAAGCUCGUGCCUGAAACUAAAGGAAGAACACUAGAAGAGAUCCAAACAUUGCUCAAAGCCACAUGAGUGGCUUCCAUUCGCUCAGUAGGUAAAGAUCCAGUUAAAAAAAUGCUGUAAAUAUUCGCCUCUUGUAAAUUAUUGUGCAUGGCAGGUGAAUGAUUUCGCCUCUUGUCGAUUCUCCUAUAUUUUAGUCUCUUUGAUAUAUGUUAUUUAGGACAAAGAUACGGUCUACAACAUAUGCUUAUCUUCAACUAUUUCAUUUUCUGA
Zea mays is the source of this 2607-nucleotide RNA transcript. RefSeq lists it as uncharacterized. The record is from RefSeq and is marked provisional. Lineage: Eukaryota; Viridiplantae; Streptophyta; Magnoliopsida; Poales; Poaceae. The transcript has 21 exons.